CGCACCUUGCACCUUUUGGUAUUCCGAAAGGUAUGCCUGUUUGAGUGUCUUGAAAACCUCAUUCCUCCAAGGUUUCCUUUGUGAACCAUGGACGGACAUGGAUGUGGGCGUCUUUUGCCUUUGACCAGGCUCGCCUUAAUAGACUUAGUGGGAUCUCCUUGAUCUAAGCUGGACGUAAUAAGUUUCGUCUGUGCAAACGAUCGGCCGGAGCCUGCUUCCAACGUUCCCUUUGUGGGAAACACCUUCAAGCUAGACCUCAAAUCAGGUAGGACUACCCGCUGAACUUAA
This 288-nucleotide unclassified non-coding RNA is filed under the name Tremellomycetes sp. Its description in RNAcentral is "partial contains 5.8S ribosomal RNA, internal transcribed spacer 2, and large subunit ribosomal RNA". The record is from RNAcentral. Lineage: Eukaryota; Fungi; Basidiomycota; Tremellomycetes.